Molecule: ribosomal RNA, 428 nt
Filed under: uncultured bacterium
Lineage: Bacteria
Description: bacterial SSU rRNA
Rfam family: Bacterial small subunit ribosomal RNA
Source: RNAcentral
UGGGGAAUCUUGCGCAAUGGGCGAAAGCCUGACGCAGCGACGCCGCGUGGGUGAUGAAGGCCUUCGGGUUGUAAAGCCCUGUGGGAAGGGACGAAUAACGUGAAUCUAAUACAUUCAUGGAUGACGGUACCUUCUUAGCAAGCACCGGCUAACUCUGUGCCAGCAGCCGCGGUAAGACAGAGGGUGCAAACGUUGUUCGGAAUUACUGGGCGUAAAGCGCGUGUAGGCGGCGAGGAAAGUCGGGUGUGAAAGCCCUGGGCUCAACCCAGGAAGUGCAUUCGAUACUACUUUGCUAGAGUCCCGGAGAGGAUGGUGGAACUCUCGGUGUAGAGGUGAAAUUCGUAGAUAUCGAGAAGAACACCGGUGGCGAAGGCGGCCAUCUGGACGGUGACUGACGCUGAGACGCGAAAGCGUGGGGAGCAAACAGG